RNAcentral lists this ribosomal RNA (465 nucleotides) under Vreelandella stevensii. RNAcentral describes it as "partial 16S ribosomal RNA". It matches the Rfam family "Bacterial small subunit ribosomal RNA", at positions 338 to 795 of the family's 1533-position model. The record is from RNAcentral. Lineage: Bacteria; Pseudomonadati; Pseudomonadota; Gammaproteobacteria; Oceanospirillales; Halomonadaceae.
CCUACGGGUGGCUGCAGUGGGGAAUAUUGGACAAUGGGGGCAACCCUGAUCCAGCCAUGCCGCGUGUGUGAAGAAGGCCCUCGGGUUGUAAAGCACUUUCAGUGAGGAAGAACGCCUGGUGGUUAAUACCCAUCAGGAAAAACAUCACUCACAGAAGAAGCACCGGCUAACUCCGUGCCAGCAGCCGCGGUAAUACGGAGGGUGCGAGCGUUAAUCGGAAUUACUGGGCGUAAAGCGCGCGUAGGUGGCUUGAUAAGCCGGUUGUGAAAGCCCCGGGCUCAACCUGGGAACGGCAUCCGGAACUGUCAAGCUAGAGUGCAGGAGAGGAAGGUAGAAUUCCCGGUGUAGCGGUGAAAUGCGUAGAGAUCGGGAGGAAUACCAGUGGCGAAGGCGGCCUUCUGGACUGACACUGACACUGAGGUGCGAAAGCGUGGGUAGCAAACAGGAUUAGAUACCCCUGUAGUC